Molecule: long non-coding RNA, 544 nt
Organism: Bos taurus (domestic cattle)
Lineage: Eukaryota; Metazoa; Chordata; Mammalia; Artiodactyla; Bovidae
Source: Ensembl
UCCUUACUAUGCGGUGCGAGGACCCAACAACAUUCCAGACGUUAAGGCCACGCCCCGGGCCACUCCCCCCUCGUCGGGCUGCGGCCUCCCAGUCUCCUCGGCCACACCCCCCUUCCCAACUACUUAAAAGGACACUCCAAAGCUCACGUUUCCUUGCUCUGUAUCGGGGUGUUCUUGUCUGGGUAUCUCUACCCGCUUACGGUGGAAUGGUUGCGCCCUUCGGGUAGCCAAGCAAGCCUCCAAGCAUAAGUCAGGUCGGACCAGGAUGAGAGAGAGGUUUCGGGCAGUUGUUUUACUUCCUGCUUGGCGCACGAAUUGUGGCCCCCUCGUUUCACGUUACCGUGAGGAUUAAAUGAGAUAAUAUGGGAAGCACUGAAUGCCUGAUACACUGGAGGUGCUCAAUAAAUAUGACUUUCCUCAUCAACCUUGCCCUCUGCAUCCAUCAUCUGCCCAGUUCCCCAGGCCAGGAACCUGAGGUCAUCCAAGACACCUUCUCCCCACUCCUCCCCACUCCCCAAUCCAUCCUGAAGCCAAGUGGCUGUUC